UGUUCUCACUCUUGAGCUAAACGUUGCCACUUAAGGAAUCAACUUGCGCCACUUUCUGCUCCAAAAUGAAAGCACUUUUCUUUUAUCGAAUAUUUUCCCUUAAUGGCGUAAACGACGCAUAUGUAAGCACAGAAUAAUUUCGACAAUAAUCGAAUUUAUAAUUCAGUUUUCACCAGUUGCUAUUCUUAUUUUUAAAUUCUGUAGUUUCUUCAUAAUUCAGUCAGUCACAUUAAAUUUUUAUUUGUAGAUAUAGAAUUCGUAAUUCCAACAAUACAAUUUAUUAUGCCAACAAUUUAUUAUGCAACUUACCUUUGUCACCCGAUAUGGUUAUGUUUCUAACCUCUCCAACAUCCAGUAUUUUGGAACGCACCGCAACUACACCUAUAUGCUUGUUAACGAUAAAACAUGCUGCGAAGAACAUUUGUUUCUGUUCAGAAUGGAGUCUACACCGUGUAGGUAGGUGGUUGCCACGAGAAAACCUCUACUCCAGCCAUCUGGAACGACUUAAAACACCAAAAAGCACGAGAGAAAAGAACGAACCAUGGUCCUUCUCGAUGUCCUUUUCUUUGGCCUCGUGCCCUUUCCCUAUCUGCGUUCGGAGAUGUACGUGCACAGAAAGCGACGAGUCGGAUCUAAAAGAACGGUCAAUAUUUCCAUUGACAGUGUGGCUAGAUUAACUUGUAAAUGGGUGUAGAUUAACGUCUGGAUUAUGGAUUUGAUGUGAAACAAUGCCACCAGUCGCUGAAUGAGAGAAAAGGACAAUUUGAAAGUUGUCAUUUAGCAUAACCUACAUCAAUCUUUGGAUUAGACGGAUUUAGUCGAAUAACGCCACCAGUCGACUUGACGAAAAAUCCUUUCUUAUCCACAACUGCCAGCCUAAUUUAGGAAUUAUUACUCAAAUUUUUACUCAUGUUAUUUUCUAACAUUUUUGUUAAAGAUAAGUAAAAUGAAUGAGGUAAUUCACGUAUAGUCUAUUUACAUAUAUAUAAUAAAUACAAAUAUGAAAUAGGUUACAAACACAAUUAUAUGAAGUAUUUCCUUAAAUGAACCAAGAGCCAAAACUGGAGAUGGAAAUAAGUAUAGAUGCAAAAUGAAUGGAAAUAGAUAGAUUAGUAGGCCUCAUUGAUUCCGACAACGAGCCCCAAUUUCCAAGACAGAUUCAUACUAUUCAUACAGAAAAGAUUCAUACUAGCAUAUUUGGUGUCCUUCAAGGAAGAGGAAGGAACAGAGGAAGUCUAGAAGAUUCGUGAAGAAGACGGAAGGAGAGAGAGGCCGGAAAGAAGGUAGAGAAGGAAGAGAAGAACAUCAAAGAGAAGCGACAACGGAUACGCGUAAACCUUGAGCUGCGAAUGCCGAAAAACCGACAGAGGUUUGAAGUAACUGACGCGUUCUCGGGAAAACUCAUCAAAGAGCCGUGGAUGGAUAAAUGUAACCGCCCGUUUAGCGUGAAACCCCUCGCUAAUUUUAAUUGCUGCCUGAUUUACGUCUCGAUACGUUCCUUUUCGCUCUUCUAUUUUUUUCUUCUCUCUCCACUUCGUGCUACGAAGAUCCCCUACUCCCCAGUGCUUUUCGCACAUAUGGGUAGACGUAGACGUCGCAGCAAGGAACUCGUUCUGUGGCCGCGAACGCGACGGCUCCCGUGAAAAAAUGAUAAAUGCCUCGAAGACAAGCGGAUACGGAUUACUGUGAUUUGUCGGUACCACAGGGCGACGAUUUGUCACGGAAUUUAAUUACAGAUGCCGCGAGGAGUGGUCUAUGUGUUUACCUGACAUACGACCUCAUGCAACUGUGGUUAUAUGGUACAAGACAUAAAUCACAUGCUAUAGAAUUGUUCUCUAGUUCAAGUGUUUGUAGAUGUUAAACGAUACAAAAUUGAGAGGAAACAAGACAUAGAUACAUCGAAUUUUUAUGAAUUUUUCAGAAAGCUCAAAAACUACGGUCACUGAAUUAUUAAGGAAUGCAACUGUCAUGUGCUCUUAUUGAAUGAAAAAGACACAUAGACCUGAGAUGAACCUCUGUACAUAAUUGAAAGUAAAUGAAAUGGAAAAAAGGAGAAGAGAAAAAGCGAAUUCGUGUUGUGCACUGUCAAAAGGAGCAAGUCUCGUCGAUAUCUAAGUUUUAUCUGUUUUCUAGUUCAGGCAUAUAUAUUUCAGUACAGAACUAGAUUCCAUUUUCCUCGCACGGCAUUCUACCUUUCAUACGUACCCAAGGGAACACGGAAGCGACCUAAGUGCGGACGCAAUAUUCAGUUUGGUUUGAUGCCACAGUCCGUCACCCCUGCGGCUGUUUUCAGACAAAACAAAGAAACCCAUCCCCCCCCACGUCUAUAUUCCCUCGUUCCUGUCAUCGUUGUACUCCCUUCUCGUAGGGCGGUACUCUACCCCACCUAGCCAUCCUUUUCUUCGUCGACCUGCGCCUUUCUUCGAUCGUGGCACUCGGAAGUUUGGGGCUGCGGAAGCGGACAUUAGGGGAGACAGUAGCGUCAUUACCAUUGGCUCACCCCUAGACAUAUAAUUAUGAAAAUGAUGGGGUUUGGAGAACGAUGAGAGUAGAAGUGCCAUGUACUUUUUAUCGAAGUGAAGGAAGUGACUACUACGUUAGCAAGAACACGCAUAAGAAUUAGUAUAUUGAAACUAGAAUAUGAUUCUGGCAUGAAUAUUUAUGGGAAAGAGAAAUAUUCAGAUUUAUUUGGUGUUACGCAAAAUAUAGCGUCAAGUUGGAUUAUACUAUCCGAAGCAUGGAAUGUUUUAGCAAGAAAAUUUGUUUUUAGAAAAUAACACAUUCGUAUUAAAAUAUUUUGUGUUUGUGAAUGCGAUCAUAUUUUAUUUCAAUAUAUUGUAUUCUGUUUUCUUCAUCCUAAUAACCAUGCAUUGAAACAAACAUUUUCUAUAAAUACCACUUCUCACAAUUAUUAUGACGAAUUCAAAGAUCAAAGAAAUAAAACAUGAUCCGAUAAAAACUAUGGAAAAUAGUACUUCUAGGUAUUAUCGGUUUGACCGAGUUACCAAGGAUUUUCAAAUAUUCCCGAAGAAGGAAAGAAAGACAAGGAUCAGCUGUACUGUGCGAACGUCGCCGCAGAAUACUGUCUUCGGCAGACAGCGUGGCACCGAAGGUUCUCUAUCCUCGUUUUUUUCUCGGGCGUGGCAAUAAGGAAGUGGGCCCGCUGCUUAAGAAAACAGAGAGCCGCCAAUAUCGGGCAGGGCCUGCCGACUGCCUGAGAAAACAGUGAACCGUUUUCGGAAUCCUGUCAAGGAUACGGGGUGACUUAGCUUUCCAUCAUGAAUGAAAACCUCAAUGCUCGCAAGUUGUCACGAAAAACGCCGAAACGUUCCCCAAGCAACGGUUCAUCGCCCGGAUUAACGGAUGAAAGAAUUUACAUGAAAAUGAAGAGAUAAAAAAGCGUUGUAAUACAAGGUAUACAAUGAGAUCUGCACAAAAGAUGGACUUAUUGUCUCAUAAAAAAAUGCAAGCUAUCGUCUUUUCGGAAUGUUUGCCACAAGACAGCGUGGCACCAGUGGCCAGAAAAUCCGUCCCAACGCUCAGAGUAGGCGGUGACCGCUUAAUUAACGGCCUGACGAAAGGCAGCGGCAAUUAAUAUGAUACCAGCUUCCUUCCAGGCUCGGGACCAGCUUGCACGUGUGAAAAAUCCAAGGACAACAUUUAUUACAAUUUGUGACAUGAUAUUCUUACUGUGACCUUUUCAUCGCUGCAUUGUCGUAGCAUGUAAAACGAUAUGGACAUAAAGGGCACUAUCGACCACAUUAAUGGAAAACAAAUUAUAUUUUAUAUAGCAAGUGGCAAUACAUCUAAUCCUUCCUGAAGAUUUAAAGACUUUAUCAUAAAUUUUAUAGAUUCAAAUAGUCGAUAACUCUAUUUGCAAUUAAC
This is a long non-coding RNA of Bombus huntii, 3885 nucleotides long. RefSeq lists it as uncharacterized. The transcript is spliced from 6 exons. The record is from RefSeq and is a predicted model, not a curated record. Lineage: Eukaryota; Metazoa; Arthropoda; Insecta; Hymenoptera; Apidae.